CCUACGGGUGGCAGCAGUGAGGAAUAUUGGUCAAUGGCCGUAAGGCUGAACCAGCCAAGCCGCGUGAAGGAAGACGGAUCUAUGGUUUGUAAACUUCUUUUAUAGGGGGAUAAAGGUAUCCACGUGUGUAUAUUUGCAUGUACCCUAUGAAUAAGGAUCGGCUAACUCCGUGCCAGCAGCCGCGGUAAUACGGAGGAUGCAAGCGUUAUCCGGAUUUAUUGGGUUUAAAGGGUGCGUAGGUUGUCGUUUAAGUCAGCGGUGAAAGUUUGUGGCUCAACCUCAAAAUUGCCUGUGAUACUGGAAGACUAGAGAGUAGUUGCGGUAGGCGGAAUGUGUGGUGUAGCGGUGAAAUGCUUAGAGAUCACGCAGAACUCCGAUUGCGAAGGCAGCUUACUAAGCUAUUACUGACAUUGAAGCACGAAAGCGUGGGGAGCAAACAGGAUUAGAUACCCUAGUAGUC
This 460-nucleotide ribosomal RNA is filed under the name uncultured bacterium. RNAcentral describes it as "partial 16S ribosomal RNA". It matches the Rfam family "Bacterial small subunit ribosomal RNA", at positions 338 to 795 of the family's 1533-position model. The record is from RNAcentral.